GACGAACGCUGGCGGCGUGCUUAACACAUGCAAGUCGAACGGAAAGGCCCUGCUUUUGUGGGGUGCUCGAGUGGCGAACGGGUGAGUAACACGUGAGUAACCUGCCCUUGACUUUGGGAUAACUUCAGGAAACUGGGGCUAAUACCGGAUAGGAGCUCCUGCUGCAUGGUGGGGGUUGGAAAGUUUCGGCGGUUGGGGAUGGACUGGCGGCUUAUCAGCUUGUUGGUGGGGGAGUGGCUUACCAAGGCUUUGACGGGUAGCCGGCCUGAGAGGGUGACCGGCCACAUUGGGACUGCGAUACGGCCCAGACUCCUACGGGGGGCAGCAGUGGGGAAUAUUGCACAAUGGGCGGAAGCCUGAUGCAGCAACGCCGCGUGCGGGAUGACGGCCUUCGUGUUGUAAACCGCUUUCGCCUGUGACGAAGCGUGAGUGACGGUAAUGGGUAAAGAAGCACCGGCUAACUACGUG
This 468-nucleotide ribosomal RNA is filed under the name uncultured bacterium. Its description in RNAcentral is "partial 16S ribosomal RNA". It matches the Rfam family "Bacterial small subunit ribosomal RNA", at positions 28 to 507 of the family's 1533-position model. The record is from RNAcentral.